Molecule: ribosomal RNA, 326 nt
Filed under: uncultured eukaryote
Lineage: Eukaryota
Description: partial 18S ribosomal RNA
Rfam family: Eukaryotic small subunit ribosomal RNA
Source: RNAcentral
CCCUUAGAUGUUCUGGGCCGCACGCGCGCUACACUGAUGCAUUCAACGAGCCUAGCCUUGACCGAGAGGUCCGGGUAAUCUUUGAAACUGCAUCGGGAUGGGGCUAGAUUAUUGCAAUUAUUAAUCUUCAACGAGGAAUGCCUAGUAAGCGUGAUUCAUCAAAUCGCGUUGAUUACGUCCCUGCCCUUUGUACACACCGCCCGUCGCUCCUACCGAUUGAGUGUGUUGGUGAGGAGUUCGGAUUGGCUCUUAGUGGUGGUUCGCCACCACCUAGAGCUGAGAAGUUCUCCAAACCGCCCCACUUAGAGGAAGGAGAAGUCGUAACA